GGGUCCAUAGCUCAGUUGGUAGAGCACCUGACUUUUAAUCAGGGUGUCGAAGGUUCGAAUCCUUCUGGACCCA
RNAcentral lists this transfer RNA (73 nucleotides) under Candidatus Odyssella acanthamoebae. RNAcentral describes it as "endosymbiont of Acanthamoeba sp. UWC9 tRNA". It matches the Rfam family "tRNA". From Rfam's summary of the family: Transfer RNA (tRNA) molecules are approximately 80 nucleotides in length. Lineage: Bacteria; Pseudomonadati; Pseudomonadota; Alphaproteobacteria; Holosporales; Candidatus Paracaedibacteraceae. The record is from Rfam by way of RNAcentral.